Molecule: long non-coding RNA, 526 nt
Filed under: Rattus norvegicus (Norway rat)
Lineage: Eukaryota; Metazoa; Chordata; Mammalia; Rodentia; Muridae
Description: long non-coding RNA NONRATT030505
Source: RNAcentral
UUCUUGGUUUCCAGGCCAACAUCCCCCUAACCCCUCCCCCUCCCAUUCUAUAUGGGUGUUCCCCUCCCCUUCCUCCCCACAUUACCACCCUCCUCCCAACAAUCAUGUUCACUGGGGGUUCAGUCUUGGCAGGACCAAGGGCUUCCCCUUCCACUGGUGCUCUUACUAGGCUAUUCAUUGCUACCUAUGAGGUUGGAGCCCAGGGUCAGUCCAUGUAUAGUCUUUGGGUAGUGGCUUAGUCCUUUGCAAUUCCUGUUUUAAUAGUAGAUUAUUCUUCAACUUUCAGGGAUCUGAUAAAAGCUAAGACUUCUUCUGAAAGUGUUUCUUUUAAAGGGAGUUUGGUUAAGGCAAAGUGGGUAAAAGGAAAUCCAUUCUAAGCAUAUAUAAAGGAAUACAAGAUGGUGUGUUUCAUUUAUGUGCUUGGACAGAGACAAAAAGCAGUGAAAAGCACACAGUCUUAGCUCUCCCUGAGUGAUUUUCCUGGAUGGGAGGUAAGUCAGCAGAGCAGAUCAUACAAAGCUUAUAA